AGUGAACGCUGGCGGUAGGCCUAACACAUGCAAGUCGAACGGCAGCACAGUAAGAGCUUGCUCUUACGGGUGGCGAGUGGCGGACGGGUGAGGAAUACAUCGGCAUCUACUUUUUCGUGGGGGAUAACGUAGGGAGACUUACGCUAAUACCGCAUACGACCUACGGGUGAAAGCAGGGGAUCUUCGGACCUUGCGCGAUUGAAUGAGCCGAUGUCGGAUUAGCUAGUUGGCGGGGUAAAGGCCCACCAAGGCGACGAUCCGUAGCUGGUCUGAGAGGAUGAUCAGCCACACUGGAACUGAGACACGGUCCAGACUCCUACGGGAGGCAGCAGUGGGGAAUAUUGGACAAUGGGCGCAAGCCUGAUCCAGCCAUACCGCGUGGGUGAAGAAGGCCUUCGGGUUGUAAAGCCCUUUUGUUGGGAAAGAAAAGCAGCAGGUUAAUACCCCGCUGUUCUGACGGUACCCAAAGAAUAAGCACCGGCUAACUUCGUG
Molecule: ribosomal RNA, 492 nt
Filed under: uncultured bacterium
Lineage: Bacteria
Description: partial 16S ribosomal RNA
Rfam family: Bacterial small subunit ribosomal RNA
Source: RNAcentral